AAUGAUACCCUGGUAGUCCACCCCGUAAACGUUGGGAAUUAGUUGUGGGGUCCUUUCCACGGAUUCCGUGACGCAGCUAACGCAUUAAGUUCCCCGCCUGGGGAGUACGGCCGCAAGGCUAAAACUCAAAGGAAUUGACGGGGACCCGCACAAGCGGCGGAGCAUGCGGAUUAAUUCGAUGCAACGCGAAGAACCUUACCAAGGCUUGACAGUACACCGGGAAACGGCCAGAGAUGGUCGCCCCGCAAGGUCGGUGUACAGGCGGUGCAUGGUUGUCGUCAGCUCGUGUCGUGAGAUGUUGGGUUAAGUCCCGCAACGAGCGCAACCCUCGUUCUAUGUUGCCAGCACGUAAUGGUGGGAACUCAUGGGAUACUGCCGGGGUCAACUCGGAGGAAGGUGGGGAUGACGUCAAAUCAUCAUGCCCCUUAUGUCUUGGGCUUCACGCAUGCUACAAUGGCCGGUACAAAGGGCUGCAAUACCGUGAGGUGGAGCGAAUCCCAAAAAGCCGGUCCAGUUCGGAUUGAGGUCUGCAACUCGACCUCA
This 543-nucleotide ribosomal RNA is filed under the name uncultured bacterium. Its description in RNAcentral is "bacterial SSU rRNA". It matches the Rfam family "Bacterial small subunit ribosomal RNA", at positions 778 to 1320 of the family's 1533-position model. The record is from RNAcentral.